AGGUGUUAAAUAAUCAAAAAAGCGUACAUGCUUGCAUGUUAAGCGUUUUGAUUAUUUAACCCGAACAAAUAUGAGAAAAUAGCAAUUUGCGUAGCAAAUUAGCGGUUUUCGAAUGUUUGUAGAAUUGCGAGAAUGACGAAGUCAUGGAGCAAUUCGU
This 157-nucleotide small RNA is filed under the name uncultured Butyrivibrio sp. Its description in RNAcentral is "Clostridiales-1 RNA". It matches the Rfam family "Clostridiales-1 RNA". The record is from RNAcentral. Lineage: Bacteria; Bacillati; Bacillota; Clostridia; Lachnospirales; Lachnospiraceae.